Molecule: ribosomal RNA, 253 nt
Filed under: uncultured bacterium
Lineage: Bacteria
Description: partial 16S ribosomal RNA
Rfam family: Bacterial small subunit ribosomal RNA
Source: RNAcentral
UACGUAGGUGGCAAGCGUUGUCCGGAAUUAUUGGGCGUAAAGCGCGCGCAGGCGGUUUCUUAAGCCUGAUGUGAAAUCCCCCGGCUUAACCGGGGAGGGUCAUUGGAAACUGGGAGACUGGAGUGCAGAAGAGGAGAGUGGAAUUCCAUGUGUAGCGGUGAAAUGCGUAGAUAUAUGGAGGAACACCAGUGGCGAAGGCGGCUCUCUGGUCUGUAACUGACGCUGAGGCGCAAAAGCGUGGGGAGCAAACAGG